GAGGGUAUAGCUCAAGUGGUAGAGAGCAUGCUUAGCAUGCAUGAGGUCCUGGGUUCAAUCCCUAGUACCUCCU
RNAcentral lists this transfer RNA (73 nucleotides) under Camelus bactrianus (Bactrian camel). It matches the Rfam family "tRNA". From Rfam's summary of the family: Transfer RNA (tRNA) molecules are approximately 80 nucleotides in length. Their secondary structure includes four short double-helical elements and three loops (D, anti-codon, and T loops). RNAcentral also lists the same sequence under 2 other names. The record is from Rfam by way of RNAcentral. Lineage: Eukaryota; Metazoa; Chordata; Mammalia; Artiodactyla; Camelidae.